RNAcentral lists this ribosomal RNA (253 nucleotides) under uncultured bacterium. Its description in RNAcentral is "partial 16S ribosomal RNA". It matches the Rfam family "Bacterial small subunit ribosomal RNA", at positions 524 to 776 of the family's 1533-position model. The record is from RNAcentral.
UACGAAGGUGGCAAGCGUUGUCCGGAUUUACUGGGUGUAAAGGGCGUGUAGGCGGGAUGAUAGGUCAGAUGUGAAAUGCCCAGGCUCAACCUGGGAGCUGCAUUUGAAACCAUUAUUCUUGAGUGUCGGAGAGGGAAGUGGAAUUCCUAGUGUAGCGGUGAAAUGCGUAGAGAUUAGGAGGAACACCAGUGGCGAAGGCGACUUUCUGGACGAUAACUGACGCUGAGGCGCGAAAGCGUGGGGAGCAAACAGG